Molecule: ribosomal RNA, 253 nt
Filed under: uncultured bacterium
Lineage: Bacteria
Description: partial 16S ribosomal RNA
Rfam family: Bacterial small subunit ribosomal RNA
Source: RNAcentral
UACGUAGGCAGCGAGCGUUGUUCGGAGUUACUGGGCGUAAAGGGUGUGUAGGCGGUUGUUUAAGUUUGGUGUGAAAUCUCCCGGCUCAACUGGGAGGGUGCGCCGAAUACUGAAUGACUAGAGUGCGGGAGAGGGAUGUGGAAUUCCAGGUGUAGCGGUGAAAUGCGUAGAUAUCUGGAGGAACACCGGUGGCGAAGGCGGCAUCCUGGACCGACACUGACGCUGAUGAGCGAAAGCCAGGGGAGCAAACGGG